Oncorhynchus nerka (sockeye salmon) is the source of this 936-nucleotide long non-coding RNA. RefSeq lists it as uncharacterized. The record is from RefSeq and is a predicted model, not a curated record. NCBI's taxonomy places the organism in Eukaryota, Metazoa, Chordata, Actinopteri, Salmoniformes, Salmonidae. The transcript is spliced from 6 exons.
GCCUCGACAUGAUUGAAGAUAGCAAUGGAGCUCCGCAAUGUCUUUUUUAAAAUGUCGGGUGGAAGCGGAAAGCUACUGCGUGAAAGCCCUUCAUUCCAAAACCUGAAGCCCAGGAAAGACCAGGAAAAAGUGUUGGCUUAAGGCUCGGUGGGUGACCGGUAACAAUGAUUCAACCAAGCUGUUCCAGGCCUGGAGUGGCACGCUGGAACUUCCAGAGGCUUGUAGACCUGAAGCAGUGUGAUGUGAUCCUGAUCUGACAUCCCUAUUACCUCAACCACAGUCCUCACAGCUGAAGUCGUCUGCCCCUGCACCUGCUACACCAGCCACGACAGGUGAUACAGAUCUGCCACCCCCAGCAGUUCAGCUGCAGUCACAGCAGUCCUCUGCUGUGGUAUUUCAUUUACCGGCUGCACCAGUUCCUACUACACUGGCCAUGAAGGGAGAUACUAUUGAGGAGACCCAGAUGGAUACAGAUCUGCCAUGCACUCCACCAGUGCCUGACAGACUCAUCUCUGAGAAAGCAGAGAUGGGUGGCUGACAAGGAAAAAUAAAACACAACACACACUCUCUCUCUGUCAUACACACUCACACACAUUAUCCCCAGUGUAAAUGAGUUGUAUUUACUUGUUUAUUUUAUGUUUGCUCAAUUUGAUUUUAGGAUUUGAGAUAUCUAUUCCUACAUAUCCAUUCUCAAUAUCUACAUAAUUACUCUAAAUAUCUAUCAAAUCAAAGUGUUAUUGAUAUUGUAAAAGACUUGCUUAAUUUGUAUAGUUUGAGGAAAUUCUGUGUGCUUUUAAAAAACAUGCCUCCCUCUCACACACACAUUAGACCCAAUGUAAAUACAUUGUUUAAGUUAUGUAUGCUCCAUUUUGUUUGAGGAUUGUCAAAUCAAAGUUUUUUUGUCACGUGUGCUGAAUACAACAUGUGUAGACCUUA